Molecule: ribosomal RNA, 364 nt
Filed under: Clostridioides difficile
Lineage: Bacteria; Bacillati; Bacillota; Clostridia; Peptostreptococcales; Peptostreptococcaceae
Description: bacterial SSU rRNA
Rfam family: Bacterial small subunit ribosomal RNA
Source: RNAcentral
UACGGGAUAAUAUAUUUGAGAGGCAUCUCUUGAAUAUCAAAGGUGAGCCAGUACAGGAUGGACCCGCGUCUGAUUAGCUAGUUGGUAAGGUAACGGCUUACCAAGGCGACGAUCAGUAGCCGACCUGAGAGGGUGAUCGGCCACAUUGGAACUGAGACACGGUCCAAACUCCUACGGGAGGCAGCAGUGGGGAAUAUUGCACAAUGGGCGAAAGCCUGAUGCAGCAACGCCGCGUGAGUGAUGAAGGCCUUCGGGUCGUAAAACUCUGUCCUCAAGGAAGAUAAUGACGGUACUUGAGGAGGAAGCCCCGGCUAACUACGUGCCAGCAGCCGCGGUAAUACGUAGGGGGCUAGCGUUAUCCGGA